Molecule: ribosomal RNA, 465 nt
Filed under: Vreelandella stevensii
Lineage: Bacteria; Pseudomonadati; Pseudomonadota; Gammaproteobacteria; Oceanospirillales; Halomonadaceae
Description: partial 16S ribosomal RNA
Rfam family: Bacterial small subunit ribosomal RNA
Source: RNAcentral
CCUACGGGGGGCAGCAGUGGGGAAUAUUGGACAAUGGGGGGAACCCUGAUCCAACCAUGCCGCGUGUGUGAAGAAGGCCCUCGGGUUGUAAAGCACUUUCAGUGAGGAAGAACGCCUGGUGGUUAAUACCCAUCAGGAAAGACAUCACUCACAGAAGAAGCACCGGCUAACUCCGUGCCAGCAGCCGCGGUAAUACGGAGGGUGCGAGCGUUAAUCGGAAUUACUGGGCGUAAAGCGCGCGUAGGUGGCUUGAUAAGCCGGUUGUGAAAGCCCCGGGCUCAACCUGGGAACGGCAUCCGGAACUGUCAAGCUAGAGUGCAGGAGAGGAAGGUAGAAUUCCCGGUGUAGCGGUGAAAUGCGUAGAGAUCGGGAGGAAUACCAGUGGCGAAGGCGGCCUUCUGGACUGACACUGACACUGAGGUGCGAAAGCGUGGGUAGCAAACAGGAUUAGAUACCCCUGUAGUC